UAAUUAACCAGUGUGAUGAGUGUAGAGGUGUGUGUAGUUAUAACUAACCAGUGUGAUGAGUGUAGAGGUGUGUGUGUGUGUGGUUAUAACUAACCAGUGUGAUGAGUGUAGAGGUGUGUGUGGUUAUAACCAGUGUGAUGAGUGUAGAGGUGUGUGUAGUUAUAACUAACCAGUGUGAUGAGUGUAAAGGUGUGUGUGUGUGUAGUUAUAACUAACCAGUGUGAUGAGUGUAGAGGUGUGUGUGGUUAUAACCAGUGUGAUGAGUGUAGAGGUGUGUGUAGUUAUAACUAACCAGUGUGAUGAGUGUAAAGGUGUGUGUGUGGUUAUAACUAACCAGUGUGAUGAGUGUAGAGGUGUGUGUAGUUAUAACUAACCAGUG
This is a long non-coding RNA of Scomber japonicus (chub mackerel), 379 nucleotides long. RefSeq lists it as uncharacterized. Lineage: Eukaryota; Metazoa; Chordata; Actinopteri; Scombriformes; Scombridae. The record is from RefSeq and is a predicted model, not a curated record. The transcript is spliced from 3 exons.